UUUAUUGAAAACCCAAUGCUUAUUAAAGGCUAUGCAAUAGAAGAUCCAUUGGGUGCUUGGGAACUGAAGUACCCAAAAAUUGAGAUAAAAUAUGAAAACCCUUUGUCAUUGAGCAAAUCUUCAUCCUGUGAAGGAGAAAGUGUCAAAAUAUCCAUUGGCUGUACCUGAUAAAUGUAUUGCUGAACUGCUGAGUGGCCCUGGUCUGGAGACAGGAGAGGAAUCCAGGUCUUUGAAGACCCAAGCACUAUCCAAUGAGCUCUGCUCCCAAAACACUGGCUGGUCUGAGCUUUUAUCAAAUCUAAGGUAUGUACUUCAAAAGCCAAAAAUAAAUGACAGUAAGAUACAUCGCCAAGAAAACCUCAAAGGUGACUGGUGCAUGGCUGCCACAAAGUCACAAGAGAGACAGCAAGCACCAGCAAAAGAAUAGGAGCAAGAGGAAGAAAACAGUAGAAGUUCUGAGAACAAUUUAAUGUUAUCAGUUGCACAGAA
RNAcentral lists this long non-coding RNA (489 nucleotides) under Lonchura striata (white-rumped munia). RNAcentral describes it as "domestica (Bengalese finch) lncRNA (ENSLSDG00000002840.1)". Lineage: Eukaryota; Metazoa; Chordata; Aves; Passeriformes; Estrildidae. The record is from RNAcentral.